GUCUACGGCCACGCUACCCUGAACAAGCACCAUAUCUGAUCGCGGAAGCUAAGCAGGGUCGGGCCUGGCCAGUACUUGGAUGGGAGACUACCUAGGAAGACCAGGUGCUGUAGGCA
This 116-nucleotide ribosomal RNA is filed under the name Pteropus alecto (black flying fox). The record is from RNAcentral. Lineage: Eukaryota; Metazoa; Chordata; Mammalia; Chiroptera; Pteropodidae.